This 459-nucleotide ribosomal RNA is filed under the name uncultured bacterium. RNAcentral describes it as "partial 16S ribosomal RNA". It matches the Rfam family "Bacterial small subunit ribosomal RNA", at positions 338 to 795 of the family's 1533-position model. The record is from RNAcentral.
CCUACGGGUGGCUGCAGUGAGGAAUAUUGGUCAAUGGGCGCGAGCCUGAACCAGCCAAGUAGCGUGAAGGAUGACUGCCCUACGGGUUGUAAACUUCUUUUAUAAAGGAAUAAAGUGAGGCACGUGUGCCUUUUUGUAUGUACUUUAUGCCCAAGCAUCGGCUAACUCCGUGCCAGCAGCCGCGGUAAUCCGGGGGAUGCGAGCGUUGUCCGGAUUUAUUGGGUUUAAAGGGUGCGUAGGCGGAUCGUUAAGUCAGGUGUCAAAUUGAGGGGCUCAACCCCUUCCCGCCAUUGAAACUGGCGCUCUGGAGUGGAAGAGAAGUAUGCGGAAUGCGUGGGGUAGCGGUGAAAUGCAUAGAUAUCACGCAGAACCCCGAUUGCGAAGGCAGCAUGCCGGCUUCCGACUGACGCUGAAGCACGAAAGCGUGGGGAUCGAACAGGAUUAGAUACCCUAGUAGUC